Molecule: ribosomal RNA, 515 nt
Filed under: uncultured bacterium
Lineage: Bacteria
Description: partial 16S ribosomal RNA
Rfam family: Bacterial small subunit ribosomal RNA
Source: RNAcentral
AGCGAACGCUGGCGGCGCGCCUAACACAUGCAAGUCGAACGUGAAAGGGGGCAACCCCAAGUAAAGUGGCGCACGGGUGAGUAACACGUAGGUAAUCUACCCUAGAGUCUGGAAUAACCUGCCGAAAGGCGGGCUAAUACUAGAUAGAGCGACGGCAUCCGUAAUUGGGUUUUUCGGGAAAGGGAGCUCGCAAGAGCCCUCGCUUAGGAUGAGCCUGCGUCCCAUUAGCUAGUUGGCGGGGUAACGGCCCACCAAGGCGAUGAUGGGUAGCUGGUCUGAGAGGAUGAUCAGCCACACUGGAACUGAAACACGGUCCAGACUCCUACGGGAGGCAGCAGUGGGGAAUCUUGCGCGAUGGACGAAAGUCUGACGCAGCGACGCCGCGUGAGUGAAGAAGGCCUUCGGGUUGUAAAGCUCUGUCGAGCGGGAAGAACAACCUCUGGGUGCAUAGCCCAGAGGCCUGACGGUACCGCUAAAGGAAGCACCGGCUAACUCCGUGCCAGCAGCCGCCGCAG